This 305-nucleotide ribosomal RNA is filed under the name uncultured bacterium. Its description in RNAcentral is "bacterial SSU rRNA". It matches the Rfam family "Bacterial small subunit ribosomal RNA", at positions 336 to 638 of the family's 1533-position model. The record is from RNAcentral.
UUCCUACGGGACGCAGCAGUGAGGAAUAUUGGUCAAUGGGCGAGAGCCUGAACCAGCCAAGCCGCGUGAAGGAUGACGGCCCUACGGGUUGUAAACUUCCUUUAUAAAGGAAUAAAGUGAGGCACGUGUGCCUUUUUGUAUGUACUUUAUGAAUAAGGAUCGGCUAACUCCGUGCCAGCAGCCGCGGUAAUACGGAGGAUCCGAGCGUUAUCCGGAUUUAUUGGGUUUAAAGGGAGCGUAGAUGGGUUGUUAAGUCAGUUGUGAAAGUUUGCGGCUCAACCUCAAAAUUGCGAUUGAUAUUGGCG